CUUCCUUCUCCUCCACCGAUUACCCCUCUUCCUCAUUUCCCCUCUUCCUCUCCCUCACUCGCCGCCUCUCCCGAACACCCAUCGCCGCAGAUCAACCGGCUCCGACGUCGAUGAGCCCCAAUUGUCAGCCGCCCAGACCACUAGCGCCUGUCCACCCGGAACCUCCCGACAUCUCUUGCUCGCCUGAUCUUGAUUUCCAGUCGCCGACUCUGUUCUUUUCCCCAUUAUCGCCGGUGCCGAUCCACGUCAACGUCCGACACCAUUGCUCCUCCACACGAUGCCAGAUCGGUGAUGCUGUUGUCGUCUCUGUCGCGAGGGUGAGCCUUUGGAUUCCUCUCGAUUUUGCCCGAUGUCGCCGCCCUAUUCGAUCGUGCCCUAGCUCCGGAUUUCCGUUCCCAUCACGUAGCCGGCAGUAGGAUAGCAAGGCUAGGAAGGGCACCAAAUGACCGGGGAGAGCCGAUCCAUCGCCGGCAGCCAGAUCCUCUUCCACCUCUGGCCACAAGUGCAAGAAAUGCUGAUCCACCGCUGCUCCCCUUUCUUUCUCCUGAUCACCGAGAGCUCUUCUUGUUCCUGAUUUCCAGCCAAUCUUUGCUUAGCUUGGCUCUCCACUAACAGUUAUUCUUGGGAGCCAGAUACUUCUGCCGGUAGGCCAUCUCUUCGCUAUCACUGGCCAUGAUUGAGGGAGGAGGGCAUCUAUCAGGAGGGAAUCUCUAUUCCUUCACAACAAUGACUAGGAUCAUCAUUGAAUGGUGAUGGGCUUACAUGGAGAGUUUCCUCUUCAUCGCAGUAACCUCUGCAUAUUUGGAUUGAAGGAUGGUUGAUCAUUGUAGCUUUGGCCAUGGAUUUCUACAGCUUUGCUCGGGCCACAGUAGCUUCACCAGCAUCUAGUCUUGAUGGGUGUUUCAACUGAUCACAAUGAGAUGCCACGUGCAGGUAGUUCGAUGUUUGAUUUAGGUAACAAACUGAUUAAUUAGUUGAUAAGUUUACAUCUUGUUGAUAACCUUGGAACGAUUGGGAAUUUAUAAAUCUAUUGAUUUGGGAUUUAUAUCAAAUUUGGAAUCAGUGGAUACUGGAUGAGAUUUGAUUUCAUUUUUGUUGUAGUGUGGAUAGUUGAUGGAUUGAGUUAGAUGACUGUGAUGAAUUGAUAAGGAUUUGUAUUGUACUAUGUUGGAGAUUUUGUGCUUUGGGGGUGUUUGGAUAAAUUGUGAUUGGUGGAUUUAGAAGGGUUUAUAAUGGGAUUUGAUUAAUGGAUGAAUCAGGGUAAGUUGUUACGAUGGAUUCAUGAUUAUCCUAUUCUAAUUGGGUUGUGUGAUUAAGGAGUAUUUGGAGGAUUAAUAGGGGAUCGAAUUGGAAUAGAGUUAUCCUAUUGGGUUAGAGAUUUUAUUUAGCUAUUUAAUUCUUAUGAAUUUAGCUAAAUAAAAUAUAUAUAUUGAUUGAUGCAUGGCUUUGAUAUGGGACGAUCAUCAAGAUGUGGAAGUUAUUCUGGACACGAUCUACGUAUCAAGGUAGCAGGUAAAGGGUUUAUGGAGUCGCCUGGAGAUUCUGUCCGCCAGUUCCACG
Molecule: long non-coding RNA, 1560 nt
Organism: Zingiber officinale
Lineage: Eukaryota; Viridiplantae; Streptophyta; Magnoliopsida; Zingiberales; Zingiberaceae
Exons: 3
Source: RefSeq, a predicted model, not a curated record